This 535-nucleotide ribosomal RNA is filed under the name Streptococcus equinus. Its description in RNAcentral is "bacterial SSU rRNA". It matches the Rfam family "Bacterial small subunit ribosomal RNA", at positions 1 to 522 of the family's 1533-position model. Lineage: Bacteria; Bacillati; Bacillota; Bacilli; Lactobacillales; Streptococcaceae. The record is from RNAcentral.
UGGAGAGUUUGAUCCUGGCUCAGGACGAACGCUGGCGGCGUGCCUAAUACAUGCAAGUAGAACGCUGACUACUUUAGCUUGCUAGAGUAGAAGGAGUUGCGAACGGGUGAGUAACGCGUAGGUAACCUGCCUACUAGCGGGGGAUAACUAUUGGAAACGAUAGCUAAUACCGCAUAACAGUGUUUAACACAUGUUAGAUGCUUGAAAGAUGCAAAUGCAUCACUAGUAGAUGGACCUGCGUUGUAUUAGCUAGUUGGUGGGGUAACGGCCUACCAAGGCGACGAUACAUAGCCGACCUGAGAGGGUGAUCGGCCACACUGGGACUGAGACACGGCCCAGACUCCUACGGGAGGCAGCAGUAGGGAAUCUUCGGCAAUGGGGGCAACCCUGACCGAGCAACGCCGCGUGAGUGAAGAAGGUUUUCGGAUCGUAAAGCUCUGUUGUAAGAGAAGAACGUGUGUGAGAGUGGAAAGUUCACACAGUGACGGUAACUUACCAGAAAGGGACGGCUAACUACGUGCCAGCAGCCGCGGUA